GACGACCGGCCGAACACGUACGUGUCCGGCCCACAAGUGGAGGCUCCGAUCUCCCACCUGACCGUCCUGAGGGACGGCGGGUCACCGGUCAGACGAUCGUCACCGAUCCGUACGUCCCCGUACGGUCGGCGCAGUCGUCCGAAAGCGCGCCCCGCGGUCGACCGCGGCGGUGCUCCGGCCCUUCGGAGUCCCGCCUGUGUCCCGUCGGGGCAUUUUUG
This 218-nucleotide non-coding RNA is filed under the name Streptomyces griseoaurantiacus M045. RNAcentral's name for it is "Streptomyces RNA 1601". It matches the Rfam family "Streptomyces RNA 1601". Rfam says of the family: Identified by deep sequencing of transcriptome at the end of exponential growth phase. The record is from Rfam by way of RNAcentral. Lineage: Bacteria; Bacillati; Actinomycetota; Actinomycetes; Kitasatosporales; Streptomycetaceae.